CCUACGGCAGGCAGCAGUAAGGAAUAUUGCGCAAUGGGCGAAAGCCUGACGCAGCGACGCCGCGUGGGGGAUGAAGGUCUUCGGAUUGUAAACCCCUUUCGGGAGGGAAGAUGGAGCGAGCAAUCGUUCGGACGGUACCUCCAGAAGCAGCCACGGCCAACUUCGUGCCAGCAGCCGCGGUAAU
Molecule: ribosomal RNA, 184 nt
Filed under: uncultured Nitrospira sp.
Lineage: Bacteria; Pseudomonadati; Nitrospirota; Nitrospiria; Nitrospirales; Nitrospiraceae
Description: partial 16S ribosomal RNA
Rfam family: Bacterial small subunit ribosomal RNA
Source: RNAcentral